Morus notabilis is the source of this 3107-nucleotide RNA transcript. It is a transcript of the gene named pentatricopeptide repeat-containing protein At2g22410, mitochondrial, with no coding region annotated. The transcript has 3 exons. The record is from RefSeq and is a predicted model, not a curated record. NCBI's taxonomy places the organism in Eukaryota, Viridiplantae, Streptophyta, Magnoliopsida, Rosales, Moraceae.
UUUUGUUGCUUUAUUGCAAAGAUGGGUCUCUCCAGCUUUCAAACUUUUCCCUGCUGCGUUUUACCUUUGCUUUUAACUCUUUCCUCAUGAGAACGGAAAAGAAGCUCUCUUCUCUCACCAUUUCUAUCUUCUACAGUUCAGAUUCCCUGAAAAAGCUCCCAUCUCUCCCACCAUUUUCCAUCGUAUGCAGUUCAGAUUCACUGUGAAGUUCUGGAAUCGAGAGUCUCUGAGAGCUAUCCCUUCAUAAUUCACCCAUAAAUCGCCAAAAAAGCAGCCCUUUUCCUCAAUCUGAAGCAAAAAAAAAAAAAAAACCCCUAGAUUCUUUCAAACCCGUCUCCUUUAGUUUUCAACACGGAUACUUGAAUCGAUGUAGAGUGAAACGCCGUCCUCGUUACGGAUCCUGUCGUUGUCGUUGUCAAACUUCUGUAGCAGAUCCGUCAUACUCGCAUUUAGGGGUUCUCGAAGAAGAGCAACCUUUGUCCUCUACUUGAUCGAACUCGUUGGUUUAUACAAGUCAACGACCAAAAGCACCUAACCCUCCUUCAACGGCUAGUGUGACUUUCCCGCCAACUCCAAUCACAAUUCAUAAUCAGAAAUGCUCUCACAAAAAUCUGAUGAUCAGCUUUACAAUCAUCUGCUCCAAAUCUCAACGUCUGUUGCAAAACCCGAUCUUAGUUCCAUUUUCUUUUCUCCUUCACACUCGCUCCUUUCCACCCCACAAACAGAAACCCAUCAACUGGAACACAACCCACACUCUUGUUCAAUCCAAUCCUCUUCUCUCUCUUCUCGAGAAUUCCAAUUCCAUCUCCCAUUUGAAGCAAAUCCAAGCCCGAAUGACCAUUACCGGAUUAAUCUCUGACCCCUUUGCUUCGAGUCGUCUUGUCGCCUUUUGCGCGCUAUCUGAAUCAAGAAAUCUGGAUUAUUGUACCAAGAUUUUGCUCAGCUUGGAGAACCCAAAUGUGUUUUCCUGGAAUGUAGCCAUUAGAGGGUAUUUGGAAAGCGAAUCGCCGAGGGAAGCGCUUGCUUUGUACAAGCGGAUGUUCCGAGAUGGCGGGUCGUGGCCGGAUAAUUAUACUUACCCUUUGUUGUUGAAAGUUUGUGCGAAUUUGCAAGAGAAGUUAAUGGGUUUAAAGCUUCUUGGGCAUGUGUUGAAGUUGGGUUUUGAUGCUGAUGUGUUUGUUCAUAAUGCGGUGAUUCAUAUGCUUGUGUCAUGUGGAGAACUGCGGGAUGCAUGUAAGGCGUUUGAUGAAAGUCGUGUGAGAGAUUUAGUUUCUUGGAAUUCUUUGAUCAAUGGGUACGCUCGAGCUGGGCUGGCGCAUGAGGCGUUAAGGCUAUUUCAGGAAAUGGAGGAUGAUAGAGUUAAGCCGGAUGAAGUUACAAUGGUUGGGUUGGUUUCUUCGUGUGCUCAACUAGGGGAUUUGGACAAGGGGAGAGAGUUUCAUCGAACUAUUCGAGUAAAUGGACUGAGUUUGACCGUUCCUCUGGCUAAUGCGCUUAUGGACAUGUAUGCCAAGUGUGGUCACCUUGAAGCGGCUCAAGAAUUAUUUAGUGAGAUGACGAAUAAAACUGUCGUCUCAUGGACUACAAUGAUAGUUGGUUAUGCCAAAUUCGGAUUUCUGGAAGCCGCUUGGAAGCUUUUGUAUGAAAUGCCGGAGAAUAAUGUUGUGCCGUGGAAUGCAAUGAUUAGCGGCUAUGUUCAAGCAAAGUGCGGUAAGGAAGCGCUAGCUGUGUUUCAUGAGAUGCAAGCUAGGAACAUAAGGCCUGAUGAGAUCACCAUGGUGGGCUGCUUAUCAGCAUGCUCGCAACUUGGAGCACUUGAUAUUGGAAUAUGGAUUCACCGUUAUAUUGAAAAACAUAUUGUUUCCUCAAACGUUGCGUUGGGAACUGCUCUUGUUGAUAUGUAUUCCAAAUGUGGGAACAUCAAAAAGGCCCUUCAGGUGUUUCAAGAAAUGCCAGGGAGAAACUCUGUGACUUGGACAGCUAUUAUAUGUGGUUUGGCUGUUCACGGGCACGCAAGCGAUGCCAUAUUUUACUUCGAAAAGAUGAUUGAUACAGGGCUGAUGCCAGAUGAGAUCACCUUCAUUGGGGUCUUAUCCGCUUGUUGUCAUGGAGGCUUGAUUGAAGAGGGUCGCAAGUAUUUUUCGCAAAUGAGAUCAAAAUUCAAUCUUUGCCCCAACUGCAAACACUACUCUUGCAUGGUGGAUCUUCUUGGUCGGGCUGGUCUUUUGGUAGAGGCAGAAGAGCUUAUCAUGAGCAUGCCUAUCAAGGCAGAUGCUGUCAUUUGGGGUGCAUUGUUCUUUGCUUGUCGCAUUCAUAAAAAUGUUGUGAUGGGAGAAAGAGCAGCUUUCAAACUUUUUGAGUUGGAUCCUCAUGAUAGCGGAAAUUAUAUCUUGCUUGCAAGUAUGUAUGGGGAAGCAAAUAUGUGGGAGGGGGCAGAGAAGGCACGGAAGAUGAUGAGGGAGAAAGGAGUAGAGAAGACUCCCGGCUGUAGCUCAAUUGAGGUGAACGGCAUUGUAUGUGAGUUUACCGUCAGAGACAAUAUGCACCCUCAUUCACGGCAAAUAUACGACUGUUCGUUUCAGUUAACAAGAGAAAUAGAGAUGGUUGGUUCUGUACGAGGUGUUCGUACAUUCAGGGAUUACUUUUUCGUUGGUGCGGAAUUUGGCUAAUGAAUGGCUAAUAUGUAUGUCAGCUUUGUCAAAUUGUAGUCAAGCAACUACAAACUUUCAAUGAAGCACAUAACAAUGAAGAAGAGUGCCGAAGGACCUGGUGUCUAAAACGUUGAAGAAAUGUCCAAAAGAGUGCAUGUUGAAGGUGUUUGUUUUACUAGGAAAACGAGUAAACAUUAUUAGUAUUGUUAACCAGCUUAUCAGCAAUCUCAUCUUCUAGAAAAGUGCCCAGAAUUUUUUGGUUCCCCGGGUAUCUUUCCGUAACCUUCUUCAGAUUCAGUCUUACCCAGCUUGCUUCACCAUAGUUUUACCAGAGCUGCUAUAUCCAAACAUGCUGCUUCUCUGAUUGAUUGUCUGAAACUUUUGCUAUAAUACCCGGAUGAUUAAAUGUACUCUUUACUCUGUUUUUUCUAUGUCGAAGAAAUAUUUAAGCCAGUU